AUGCAGGAUGUGGGCAAGCUGACAACUGCAUCUGCCGCCAGAAGGAAUGCUGAGGAUGGUCAUGCCGUAGUCCCAAACCAACAGCCACAAGUGGUGCCUAAUCAGGGACGUGAAGGAAGAAGAUCUGCUGGAGCAGAGAAACUGAAACUGACCAGAUGAGUGAGAAACCCCAGGACAAAUCUGCUGGCAGAGGAUAUAAGGAGAUGGACAAACCGUGCGGGUGCCCUCUAGGUGUGUGCGACCAUGGAAUGGGGGACUGGAGGGAUCUGUGGAUCCCAACCAUGCGUCCGGUUCCCCCAGUAUGAGCCAUGAGCCAGUGGAAUCUGAAUGCGAAGACAGAAUGGGGGCCAACCGGAGUCACAAUGACAUCAACCCCCAUAACAUGGGGACAGAUCAAGAAAACCACACAGGAAGUUGAAAAACUGCUGGAGCGCCAGGGUCAGGCAAAAACCCCAGACUCCAUGUUUAUGGCCAUGCUAGCUGUAAUAUCCUGUGAGGUAUGUUUUCCCUGUGCAGAGGCAAAAACAUAUUGGGCAUAUGUUCCUAACCCACUGGUAGUGUGACCAUACUCUGGAACGACACUCCUCCUGAGAUAUAUCAUGAUCAAGGAGCAUAGGCACCAGGACCCCUAAUCUCCCCUGACACAGAGCAAUUAGACUCUCAGAACAAUGGUAUCAAUUAUACCACUCCAUUGGAGGAACUUCCUUUAUGCGUCACCCAGGAUACCUCACUCAACUGCAGUUGCCUUGCAAUUCAAUCCCAAGCAUGGCUGAGUUACCAUGGAAAUAUUAUGUACCUAUUAGGCCUUAGCUCUAUUAAUAUUACUGGUGUGGUUACUAAUCACUCCCGGCCCCAUCGCCCAAAUUGUAUUGAUUAUACAGAAUGGGCUCCCUUUGAUAAUUCUCACCCCUCUCCUUGGGCCCACUGUCUUGGCCCCUUAGCUAGACAACAGUCCAUGUUAAUGGGAGACAUUAUUGACUGGGGUCCCCGUGGUCAUUUAGAUGGGAGAGAUGAGAAUCAGACCUCACGGCAUAAGCUUCACUAGCACUGGUGGCAAAACUUUAACAUCUCUUCACUACAUCACACUGGGAUUCAAUCCCAAUCUGUCACGUAACUUGCUUGGCACGGAAUGGGCUUUAGCCCACCUUUGCCUCAAUGGCAUUAUCAAGGAAAGAGAGGUCCAAUUAGGAGUCGAUAUGGAAGGCACUCCCGUUUAUGAAUGGCAGCAUUUGGGUUGGGACACUACCCAAUAAUAGUAAUAGUGCUCAACACAGUUUUAAUGUUACCUUUAUAGAAAAUAUUACCACUCAAUUUACAAUUUGUGUUUUUUUUGUUUUUUUGAGACAGAGUCUUGCACUGUUGCCCAGGCUGGAGUGCAGUGGUGCGAUCUCAGCUCACUGCAAGCUCUGCCUCCCGGGUUCACGCCAUUCUCCUGCCUCAGCCUCCCAAGUAGCUGGGACUACAGGCACCCGCCACCACGCCCGGCUAAUUUUUUUAUAUUUUUAGUAGAGACGGGAUUUCACCCUGUUAGCCAGGAUGGUCUCGAUCUCCUGAACUCGUGAUCUGCCCGUCUUGGCCUCCCAAAGUGCUGGGAUUACAGGCGUGAGACACCGCGCCCAGCCUACAAUUUGUGUUUUUAAUCCCUAUGUCUUUCUAGCAGCAAAAAAGGACCAACUCCAGGUAAACGAUGCCCAAUUGGCUUGUGAUUCCUGUCAGCUGUAUAAUUGCCUUAAUCAUAGCACAAUACAAACACACAGCAUAUCCACCCUAAUAAUUCUAGGUCGCAUUCCCGGAUUAUGGAUUCCUGUAAAUCUGUCCAAGCCUUGGGCCCCUGCUUUGCAUUUUGUAAAACUCCUUAUUACUCAGCUUACUCAUCGUGCUCGUAGAGCCUUAGGCAUGAUAAUUUUUGCUAUAGUAUCCUUAGUCACAUUAAUAACCUCUGUUGUGGUGUCCUCCGUAGCACUGCAUAACUCCAUUUAAAUAGCUCAAUAUGUAGAAAAUUGGACGUGUAUAGCCAACCAGGCAUGGAUGCUUCAAAAUAAAAUUAACACCGAGAUAC
RNAcentral lists this long non-coding RNA (2059 nucleotides) under Homo sapiens (human). Its description in RNAcentral is "non-protein coding lnc-ZNF689-1:1". Lineage: Eukaryota; Metazoa; Chordata; Mammalia; Primates; Hominidae. The record is from RNAcentral.